ACUCGAAGAGUAGGGCGGGACACGUGGUAUCCUGUCUGAAUAUGGGGGGACCAUCCUCCAAGGCUAAAUACUCCUGACUGACCGAUAGUGAACCAGUACCGUGAGGGAAAGGCGAAAAGAACCCCGGCGAGGGGAGUGAAAAAGAACCUGAAACCGUGUACGUACAAGCAGUGGGAGCACCUUCGUGGUGUGACUGCGUACCUUUUGUAUAAUGGGUCAGCGACUUAUAUUCUGUAGCAAGGUUAACCGUAUAGGGGAGCCGAAGGGAAACCGAGUCUUAACUGGGCGUUAAGUUGCAGGGUAUAGACCCGAAACCCGGUGAUCUAGCCAUGGGCAGGUUGAAGGUUGGGUAACACUAACUGGAGGACCGAACCGACUAAUGUUGAAAAAUUAGCGGAUGACUUGUGGCUGGGGGUGAAAGGCCAAUCAAACCGGGAGAUAGCUGGUUCUCCCCGAAAGCUAUUUAGGUAGCGCCUCGUGAACUCAUCUUCGGGGGUAGAGCACUGUUUCGGCUAGGGGGCCAUCCCGGCUUACCAACCCGAUGCAAACUACGAAUACCGAAGAAUGUUAUCACGGGAGACACACGGCGGGUGCUAACGUCCGUCGUGAAGAGGGAAACAACCCAGACCGCCAGCUAAGGUCCCAAAGUCAUGGUUAAGUGGGAAACGAUGUGGGAAGGCACAGACAGCCAGGAUGUUGGCUUAGAAGCAGCCAUCAUUUAAAGAAAGCGUAAUAGCUCACUGGUCGAGUCGGCCUGCGCGGAAGAUGUAACGGGGCUAAACCAUGCACCGAAGCUGCGGCAGCGACACUAUGUGUUGUUGGGUAGGGGAGCGUUCUGUAAGCCGUUGAAGGUGUGCUGUGAGGCAUGCUGGAGGUAUCAGAAGUGCGAAUGCUGACAUAAGUAACGAUAAAGCGGGUGAAAAGCCCGCUCGCCGGAAGACCAAGGGUUCCUGUCCAACGUUAAUCGGGGCAGGGUGAGUCGACCCCUAAGGCGAGGCCGAAAGGCGUAGUCGAUGGGAAACAGGUUAAUAUUCCUGUACUUGGUGUUACUGCGAAGGGGGGACGGAGAAGGCUAUGUUAGCCGGGCGACGGUUGUCCCGGUUUAAGCAUGUAGGCGGAGGUUCCAGGUAAAUCCGGUACCUUUUAACGCUGAGGUGUGAUGACGAGGCACUACGGUGCUGAAGUAACAAAUGCCCUGCUUCCAGGAAAAGCCUCUAAGCAUCAGGUAACAUCAAAUCGUACCCCAAACCGACACAGGUGGUCAGGUAGAGAAUACCAAGGCGCUUGAGAGAACUCGGGUGAAGGAACUAGGCAAAAUGGUGCCGUAACUUCGGGAGAAGGCACGCUGAUAUGUAGGUGAAGCCCCUGCGGGUGGAGCUGAAAUCAGUCGAAGAUACCAGCUGGCUGCAACUGUUUAUUAAAAACACAGCACUGUGCAAACACGAAAGUGGACGUAUACGGUGUGACGCCUGCCCGGUGCCGGAAGGUUAAUUGAUGGGGUUAGCGGCAACGCGAAGCUCUUGAUCGAAGCCCCGGUAAACGGCGGCCGUAACUAUAACGGUCCUAAGGUAGCGAAAUUCCUUGUCGGGUAAGUUCCGACCUGCACGAAUGGCGUAAUGAUGGCCAGGCUGUCUCCACCCGAGACUCAGUGAAAUUGAACUCGCUGUGAAGAUGCAGUGUACCCGCGGCAAGACGGAAAGACCCCGUGAACCUUUACUAUAGCUUGACACUGAACACUGGUCCUUGAUGUGUAGGAUAGGUGGGAGGCUUUGAAGCGUGGACGCCAGUCUGCGUGGAGCCGUCCUUGAAAUACCACCCUUUAAUGGCUGGUGUUCUAACGUAGACCCGUAAUCCGGGUUGCGGACAGUGUCUGGUGGGUAGUUUGACUGGGGCGGUCUCCUCCCAAAGAGUAACGGAGGAGCACGAAGGUUAGCUAAUCCUGGUCGGACAUCAGGAGGUUAGUGCAAUGGCAUAAGCUAGCUUGACUGCGAGAGUGACGGCUCGAGCAGGUGCGAAAGCAGGUCAUAGUGAUCCGGUGGUUCUGAAUGGAAGGGCCAUCGCUCAACGGAUAAAAGGUACUCCGGGGAUAACAGGCUGAUACCGCCCAAGAGUUCAUAUCGACGGCGGUGUUUGGCACCUCGAUGUCGGCUCAUCACAUCCUGGGGCUGAAGUAGGUCCCAAGGGUAUGGCUGUUCGCCAUUUAAAGUGGUACGCGAGCUGGGUUUAGAACGUCGUGAGACAGUUCGGUCCCUAUCUGCCGUGGGCGCUGGAGAAUUGAGGGGGGCUGCUCCUAGUACGAGAGGACCGGAGUGGACGCAUCACUGGUGUUCGGGUUGUCAUGCCAAUGGCACUGCCCGGUAGCUAAAUGCGGAAAAGAUAAGUGCUGAAAGCAUCUAAGCACGAAACUUGCCCCGAGAUGAGUUCU
This 2425-nucleotide ribosomal RNA is filed under the name Enterobacter asburiae C1. Its description in RNAcentral is "bacterial LSU rRNA". It matches the Rfam family "Bacterial large subunit ribosomal RNA", at positions 403 to 2812 of the family's 2925-position model. The record is from RNAcentral. Lineage: Bacteria; Pseudomonadati; Pseudomonadota; Gammaproteobacteria; Enterobacterales; Enterobacteriaceae.